Molecule: microRNA, 17 nt
Filed under: Macrophomina phaseolina MS6
Lineage: Eukaryota; Fungi; Ascomycota; Dothideomycetes; Botryosphaeriales; Botryosphaeriaceae
Description: miR-3656
Source: RNAcentral
GGGGGGUGCGGGCGUGG